RNAcentral lists this ribosomal RNA (508 nucleotides) under uncultured Enterobacter sp. RNAcentral describes it as "bacterial SSU rRNA". It matches the Rfam family "Bacterial small subunit ribosomal RNA", at positions 505 to 1015 of the family's 1533-position model. The record is from RNAcentral. Lineage: Bacteria; Pseudomonadati; Pseudomonadota; Gammaproteobacteria; Enterobacterales; Enterobacteriaceae.
GUGCCAGCAGCUGCGGUAAUACGGAGGGUGCAAGCGUUAAUCGGAAUUACUGGGCGUAAAGCGCACGCAGGCGGUCUGUCAAGUCGGAUGUGAAAUCCCCGGGCUCAACCUGGGAACUGCAUUCGAAACUGGCAGGCUAGAGUCUUGUAGAGGGGGGUAGAAUUCCAGGUGUAGCGGUGAAAUGCGUAGAGAUCUGGAGGAAUACCGGUGGCGAAGGCGGCCCCCUGGACAAAGACUGACGCUCAGGUGCGAAAGCGUGGGGAGCAAACAGGAUUAGAUACCCUGGUAGUCCACGCCGUAAACGAUGUCGACUUGGAGGUUGUGCCCUUGAGGCGUGGCUUCCGGAGCUAACGCGUUAAGUCGACCGCCUGGGGAGUACGGCCGCAAGGUUAAACUCAAAUGAAUUGACGGGGCCGCACAAGCGGUGGAGCAUGUGGUUUAAUUCGAUGCAACGCGAAGAACCUUACCUACUCUUGACAUCCAGAGAACUUAGCAGAGAUGCUUUGGU